AGAGUUUGAUCAUGGCUCAGAACGAACGCUGGCGGCAGGCCUCAAACAUGCAAGUCUAGGGGGUGUAGCAAUACACCACCGGCGGACGGGUGCGUAACACGUGGGAAUAUACCUUUCGGUACGGAACAACUGAGGGAAACUUCAGCUAAUACCGUAUACGUCCUAACGGAGAAAGAUUUAUCGCCGAAGGAUUAGCCCGCGCUCGAUUAGCUAGUUGGUGAGGUAAUGGCUCACCAAGGCUACGAUCGAUAGCUGUUCUGAGAGGAAGAUCAGCCACACUGGGACUGAGACACGGCCCAGACUCCUACGGGAGGCAGCAGUUGGGAAUCUUGGACAAUGGGGGAAACCCUGAUCCAGCCAUGCCGCGUGAGUGAUGAAGGCCUUCGGGUUGUAAAGCUCUUUUACCCGGGAAGAUAAUGACUGUACCGGGAGAAUAAGCUCCGGCUAACUUCGUGCCAGCAGCCGCGGUAAUACGAAGGGGGCUAGCGUUGUUCGGAAUUACUGGGCGUAAAGCGCGCGCAGGCGGUUUCUCAAGUCAGUGGUGAAAGCCCGGAGCUCAACUCCGGAACUGCCAUUGAAACUGUGAAACUUGAGGACGAGAGAGGUGAGUGGAAUUCCCAGUGUAGAGGUGAAAUUCGUAGAUAUUGGGAAGAACACCGGUGGCGAAGGCGGCUCACUGGCUCGUUUCUGACGCUCAGGCGCGACAGCGUGGGGAUCAAACAGGAUUAGAUACCCUAGUAGUCC
RNAcentral lists this ribosomal RNA (744 nucleotides) under uncultured bacterium. RNAcentral's name for it is "bacterial SSU rRNA". It matches the Rfam family "Bacterial small subunit ribosomal RNA", at positions 8 to 796 of the family's 1533-position model. The record is from RNAcentral.